GUCGAGCGGUAACAGGGGAGCUUGCUCCUGCUGACGAGCGGCGGACGGGUGAGUAACGCGUGGGAAUCUGCCCAUUGGUGGGGGAUAGCCCGGAGAAAUUCGGAUUAAUACCGCAUAAUACCUGAGGGUUAAAACGGGGGAUCAUUAGACCUCGUGCCAAUGGAUGAGCCCGCGUCAGAUUAGCUAGUUGGUAAGGUAAAGGCUUACCAAGGCGACGAUCUGUAGCUGGCCUGAGAGGGUGGUCAGUCACACUGGAACUGAGACACGGUCCAGACUCCUACGGGAGGCAGCAGUGGGGAAUAUUGGGCAAUGGGCGCAAGCCUGACCCAGCCAUGCCGCGUGUGUGAAGAAGGCUUUCGGGUUGUAAAGCACUUUAAGUUGGGAGGAAGGCUGCUUAGUUAAUACCUAAGUAGAUUGACGUUACCAACAGAAUAAGCACCGGCUAAUUCCGUGCCAGCAGCCGCGGUAAUACGGAAGGUGCGAGCGUUAAUCGGAAUUACUGGGCGUAAAGAGCACGUAGGCGGUUUGUUAAGUUGGAUGUGAAAGCCCAGGGCUCAACCUUGGAAUUGCAUCCGAUACUGGCAGGCUAGAGUACAGUAGAGGGAGGUGGAAUUUCCGGUGUA
This 623-nucleotide ribosomal RNA is filed under the name uncultured bacterium. RNAcentral describes it as "bacterial SSU rRNA". It matches the Rfam family "Bacterial small subunit ribosomal RNA", at positions 61 to 677 of the family's 1533-position model. The record is from RNAcentral.